AACGAACGCUGGCGGCAUGCCUAACACAUGCAAGUCGAACGAGACCUUCGGGUCUAGUGGCGCACGGGUGCGUAACGCGUGGGAACAUGCCCUUAGGUUCGGAAUAACUCCCCGAAAGGGGUGCUAAUACCGGAUAAUGUCUUCGGACCAAAGAUUUAUCGCCUUUGGAUGGGCCCGCGUUGGAUUAGCUAGUUGGUAGGGUAAAAGCCUACCAAGGCGACGAUCCAUAGCUGGUCUGAGAGGAUGAUCAGCCACACUGGGACUGAGACACGGCCCAGACUCCUACGGGAGGCAGCAGUGGGGAAUAUUGGACAAUGGGCGGAAGCCUGAUCCAGCAAUGCCGCGUGAGUGAUGAAGGCCUUAGGGUUGUAAAGCUCUUUUACCCGGGAUGAUAAUGACAGUACCGGGAGAAUAAGCCCCGGCUAACUCCGUG
Molecule: ribosomal RNA, 433 nt
Filed under: uncultured bacterium
Lineage: Bacteria
Description: partial 16S ribosomal RNA
Rfam family: Bacterial small subunit ribosomal RNA
Source: RNAcentral